UAAUACAGAGGGUGCAAGCGUUAAUCGGAUUUACUGGGCGUAAAGCGCGCGUAGGCGGCCAAUUAAGUCAAAUGUGAAAUCCCCGAGCUUAACUUGGGAAUUGCAUUCGAUACUGGUUGGCUAGAGUGUGGGAGAGGAUGGUAGAAUUCCAGGUGUAGCGGUGAAAUGCGUAGAGAUCUGGAGGAAUACCGAUGGCGAAGGCAGCCAUCUGGCCUAACACUGACGCUGAGGUGCGAAAGCAUGGGGAGCAAACAGGAUUAGAUACCCUGGUAGUCCAUGCCGUAAACGAUGUCUACUAGCCGUUGGGGCCUUUGAGGCUUUAGUGGCGCAGCUAACGCGAUAAGUAGACCGCCUGGGGAGUACGGUCGCAAGACUAAA
This 378-nucleotide ribosomal RNA is filed under the name uncultured bacterium. Its description in RNAcentral is "bacterial SSU rRNA". It matches the Rfam family "Bacterial small subunit ribosomal RNA", at positions 521 to 898 of the family's 1533-position model. The record is from RNAcentral.